Molecule: long non-coding RNA, 170 nt
Organism: Haliotis rubra (blacklip abalone)
Lineage: Eukaryota; Metazoa; Mollusca; Gastropoda; Lepetellida; Haliotidae
Exons: 3
Source: RefSeq, a predicted model, not a curated record
GUGUUCAGUAUCAAACCUUGUGUUUACAGGAUAAAGCAUUUGGUAUGAAGCUUUUCAGCAUACAGGAUAAAGCAUUCGGUAUGAAGCUCUUCAGUAUACAGGAUAAAGCAUUCGGCAUAUGAAGCUUUUCAGAAUACAGGAUAAAGCGUUCAGUAUGAAGCUUUUCAGUA